AGGAAUUUGGCUCAGUGGUAGAGCACUUGCUUAACAUGCCAGAAGCCAGGGGUUUAAUCCCCAGUACCAU
Molecule: non-coding RNA, 70 nt
Organism: Ictidomys tridecemlineatus (thirteen-lined ground squirrel)
Lineage: Eukaryota; Metazoa; Chordata; Mammalia; Rodentia; Sciuridae
Source: Rfam